CCGGCAGUCUCGAUCCCAGAGUUCAGGACCCUCCCUUUGGUGGCGUUCAUGCCACUCCAUCGCCAUUCCGGCUCAUUCGCCUUCCCGUCAAAGCUUAAGGGGAGAGGUAUAGCAAGAAAACUCUUCCUCCGUUGGUGAUUUGAUCUUAGCCUAUUACCCUAAGCCUAGGAGAUCAUGGCAUGAGGAGGAGCUCAAGAAGAAAGUUCGGGACAACUGAGCGUCAUUUUGGUGAAGUCUAGAUUGCGCCUCACUGGAGCAGUGAUGGCCUCG
Molecule: long non-coding RNA, 270 nt
Filed under: Elaeis guineensis (African oil palm)
Lineage: Eukaryota; Viridiplantae; Streptophyta; Magnoliopsida; Arecales; Arecaceae
Description: long non-coding RNA (EGUI_LNC039260)
Source: RNAcentral